RNAcentral lists this ribosomal RNA (680 nucleotides) under Psittacula krameri (Rose-ringed parakeet). RNAcentral's name for it is "partial 16S ribosomal RNA". It matches the Rfam family "Bacterial large subunit ribosomal RNA", at positions 1926 to 2829 of the family's 2925-position model. The record is from RNAcentral. Lineage: Eukaryota; Metazoa; Chordata; Aves; Psittaciformes; Psittacidae.
AACGGCCGCGGUAUCCUAACCGUGCAAAGGUAGCGCAAUCAAUUGUCCCAUAAAUCGAGACUUGUAUGAACGGCCAAACGAGGCCUUAGCUGUCUCCUGCAGACAAUCAGUGAAACUGAUCUCCCUGUACAAAAGCAGGGAUAAACACAUAAGACAAGAAGACCCUGUGGAACUUAAAAAUCAAUAGCCACCCUACACUACCCCAAAACCUACUAGGCUUACCACCCCAAACGUUGGCUAACAUUUUUAGGUUGGGGCGACCCUGGAGAAAAACAAACCCUCCAAAAACAAGGCCAAACCCCUUAACCAAGAGCAACCCCUCAACGUACCAACAGUACCCAGACCCAAUAAAAUUGACCAAUGAACCAAGCUACCCCAGGGAUAACAGCGCAAUCUCCCCCAAGAGUCCAUAUCGACGAGGAGGUUUACGACCUCGAUGUUGGAUCAGGACAUCCUAGUGGUGCAGCCGCUACUAAGGGUUCGUUUGUUCAACGAUUAACAGUCCUACGUGAUCUGAGUUCAGACCGGAGCAAUCCAGGUCGGUUUCUAUCUAUGACCAAUCCUCCCUAGUACGAAAGGACCGGAAGGAUGGGGCCAAUACCCCUAGCACGCCCCCUCCCUAAGUGAUGCCCACAACUAAAUCACCAAAGGACUACACACUCCCCCCACCGAAAAUGGUU